CUCAGGAUGUACAGCUCUGUGAGAUCAUAAAUGGCUCUUGUUCUAAGCCGCUAACUUUGUGGUCAUUUGUUAUGGCGGCAACAGGAAACUCAUACACCAUGUGAACGCUUUCUCAGAACCGGCGCAAGAGAGAGGCUGCAAAGCUGGAGCUCCCUGAGCUGAGGGGAAGCCCACCUUGGUGCGGGCCUCUUAGCCAGUCUGGGGGAACUCUUUCUACCUUCUUUCUGUCAAGCCGGAUAAUUACUCCACCUCUUUAGAAUGGACAGUGACUGUCACCCCUGGGAAAUGUCAACGUGCACCACCUAGAAAGGCAACCCACUUUCAAGAUGUCUAGAAGCCAGUCGGGGUCCAGGAGCAGGCCUCUACCUACAUUUAUGUGGGUAAAUGAAGUCACAGCACAAAUUACCUACCCUACAUGGAAGAUAGAUCCUCCUGCGCCACCUCCUGCUUCUCUGCUGAGCCUGAGACGUGGACCCCUGCCUGGAUGUGGGGCUGGGGACGUGGCUCCUCCCUGUCUCACAGGCCCACCUCUUGUCCCUACACAGACAUUGAAUCCAGUGGCGCCCCCUGCUGCUACCUCCCUAAGCGAAAGUGGCACAAGGAGCCUUGGCGCUGGCCAGGUGCCUACUGCUGCCAAGAGCCCUCGAUCUCUGCCAGACAUGGGCACCCCCCACUCUCCAUCCCCAGGCCUCCCACCACUAGGUGGGCCAUUGGCACCGCGCCCUCAGCCACUGGCCUCUACAUUUCCCUCCCACCGAGGCACUGUCCCAGCCCGAGGGCUUUCCUACUUUUAUGAUUUGUCCACGAAGGUGACAUCUUUCAGCCCGCAGACAGCCGUCUUCCAAGCUGUUUACAGGACCUUGCACAGGGUCUUCAGGGGCUUCCAGCCUGUCACAAAUCAUGACCUGGUUUGACCUUUAAAAUGUCUCAAAAUCUAAUACUGAAGCCUUUCUUGAAUGUUUAUUUUAUUGCUUUCCAUAUAUACAUAUAUAAUUCUUCUAAACACUUUUUAAAACAAUAUCGUGUUUCAUUCUUUGUGCUAACAUGAGCUUUUUCCAUUUUAAAAAUUAAAAAAUAUGAUCAUUA
This 1086-nucleotide long non-coding RNA is filed under the name Equus asinus (donkey). RNAcentral's name for it is "lncRNA (ENSEASG00005025056.1)". The record is from RNAcentral. Lineage: Eukaryota; Metazoa; Chordata; Mammalia; Perissodactyla; Equidae.